GUUAAAAUGUGUGAAGUGAAGUAUUCUGGAAAAAGCAAGUUCUUGGAUUCCACUCAGAAGGGAGGGGAGAGGAGGUAGGCUGGGUUGAUCCUAAUGGUGGUACCCUGGACAAAAGGACCGAUGGGGAACCAGGAGGAGGUAUAGGAACCUGAAAAGGCAGAGGACCAAUGAGGAGCACGAGUCCGGGUUCUCUUUUGGAAAGUCAAAUGUAGGCGAUGGACAAGAACUGUUGGAGCAGCAGAUCUGAGAGGCAAAGCUCUGUCUUCAUUCAAGAGGACUGACUCAUUUUGGUCCAAGAUUACUUAGACUUUCUCUUUUAAUUGGGACUAGCUCUUACAAUUGCUGAUGCGGGGAAUGAUCAAGGGCUCUGUCAUUUCAGCCCUGCGUGCCUGUGGGGCCAGGGAUAAGGCCUUGACAGUCCGGAAGGAGAUCUCUGGGCAGGGCUUUGCCAGUAACACUUGACCUUAGGGCUAAUGACGGUCUCUUCAACUCCCGGAUGGUGCUCAAGCCCCAGGGUUCCCAUUGUUAAAAUCUAGAAUAAGGGGAAGCCUCUUUAAGAUGAUCUGCAGGCACAGAGGGCAGAAACACUCUUCUGCUCUGCAGCCGGUGGAGCGCAUAAUCCCAGGGCCUGCCAUUCAUGCUGUGGACAUGACCGGGACCUCCCAGCAGGGUGGAGGAAUGGCCUGCUCAGCUGCACACCGUGGUCUUCUACCAGCUGCAUCUAGUGGAGCUCCCAGUCCAGAAAAGGAGCUAUUAUUUCUGUGUGGGGAAAAUGGAUGACAAGAACAAUGCCUGCCGACUCCUCCUUGCUGCCCCAGUCUCACUGCCCUCCAGCAGAGGCCACCUCUCAGAGUCCUGCACUACUCAAACAACCAGCAAGGGCUUGGCACUGGGCUCCUUGGGAAACGCCUGCCAGGCUGAAUUGUUCAAGGCUGGAAUCACAGCUGAAUGACUCACCCUGCCCAAGAUGCCCGCGUUAAUCCAGCGACUUCAUUCCAGUCACCACUUGUUACCGAGUGCCGAAGCCGAGAAAGAGAGAAGGCUUGAGAGGGAGGGCAGAUCCCCCCCCACGCGGUAUCUACAUCUGAAAGGCAGCCUUUCUGCUGGAGGCCCGCUUGACUUCCUACACCGCCACUCCCUUACAGUCUUGAAAGCCAGCAAGAACUGUUCCACUGCAAAAGUAGCUGCCUGGAUUCCAAGGUGGGUCAGAUAUUAUCCCCCAUCUAAGUAGACCAGGUGGGGAGUUCCCGUCCUGGCGCUGCAGAAACCAGUCUGACUAGUAUUCAUGAGGAUGCAGGUUCGAUCCCUGGUCUCGCUCAGAGGGUUAAGGAUCUGGCAUUGCCGUGAGCUGUGGUGUAGUUCGCAGACACAGCUUGGAUCCCGCAUUGCUGUGGCUGUGGUGUAGGCCAGCAGCUGUAGCUCUGAUUGGACCCCUAGCCUGGGAACCUCCAUAUGUGGCAGGUGCGGUCCUGAAAAAA
RNAcentral lists this long non-coding RNA (1478 nucleotides) under Sus scrofa (pig). Its description in RNAcentral is "lncRNA (ENSSSCG00045025772.1)". Lineage: Eukaryota; Metazoa; Chordata; Mammalia; Artiodactyla; Suidae. The record is from RNAcentral.